Leptidea sinapis is the source of this 15083-nucleotide long non-coding RNA. RefSeq lists it as uncharacterized. The record is from RefSeq and is a predicted model, not a curated record. The transcript is spliced from 9 exons. NCBI's taxonomy places the organism in Eukaryota, Metazoa, Arthropoda, Insecta, Lepidoptera, Pieridae.
UAAGAAAAGAGGCUAGCAGUCUUAGCUUUAGUGAUAUAGGUUGUAUUUACGUUAGAUGAAAAAAGGCAAUUCAGUUAUUAUGGUGUAGACUCUAGGUUACAACAAUCAGAAAAGAGGCAAGCAGUCUUAGCUUUAGUGAUAUAGGUUGUAUUAACGUUAGAUGAAAGAAGGCAAUUCAGUUAUUAUGGUGUAGACUCUAGGUUACAACAAUCAGAAAAGAGGCUAGCAGUCUUAGCUUUAGUGAUAUAGGUUGUAUUUACGUUAGAUGAAAGAAGGCAAUUCAGUUAUUAUGGUGUAGACUCUAGGUUACAACAAUCAGAAAAGAGGCUAGCAGUCGUAGCUUUAGUGUAUAGGUUGUAUUUACGUUAGAUGAAAGAAGGCAAUUCAGUUAUUAUGGUGUAGACUCUAGGUUACAACAAUCAGAAAAGAGGCUAGCAGUCUUAGCUUUAGUGAUAUAGGUUGUAUUAACGUUAGAUGAAAGAAGGCAAUUCAGUUAUUAUGGUGUAGACUCUAGGUUACAACAAUCGGAAAAGAGGCUAGCAGUCUUAGCUUUAGUGUAUAGGUUGUAUUUACGUUAGAUGAAAGAAGGCAAUUCAGUUAUUAUGGUGUAGACUCUAGGUUACAACAAUCAGAAAAGAGGCUAGCAGUCUUAGCUUUAGUGAUAUAGGUUGUAUUUACGUUAGAUGAAAGAAGGCAAUUCAGUUAUUAUGGUGUAGACUCUAGGUUACAACAAUCAGAAAAGAGGCAAGCAGUCUUAGCUUUAGUGAUAUAGGUUGUAUUAACGUUAGAUGAAAGAAGGCAAUUCAGUUAUUAUGGUGUAGACUCUAGGUUACAACAAUCAGAAAAGAGGCUAGCAGUCUUAGCUUUAGUGGUUGUAUUUACGUUAGAUGAAAGAAGGCAAUUCAGUUAUUAUGGUGUAGACUCUAGGUUACAACAAUCAGAAAAGAGGCUUGCAGUCUUAGCUUUAGUGGUUGUAUUUACGUUAGAUGAAAGAAGGCAAUAAUUCAGUUAUUAUGGUGUAGACUCUAGGUUGCAAUAAACAUAAAAGAGGCUAGCAGUCUUAGCUUUAGUUGUCUAGGUAAUCAAUGUAGGUUUGUAAGCAAGAGACUAGCAAUUAAAGCUAUAGUGAUGGUGAUAUAUACCACAGGUUUAUGUAAAAUUUAUCUGUUUAGGUGCUUUUUGUAUGUCAUCAAAAAUGAUAUUUUAAGGAUUAAGAGGAUUGUAAAUGUAAGGUAAUUCAAAAAGAAACGGGCAAAUUUUAGUAAUCAAAAUUCAAUUAAAAUAUUACAGACGAUUCUGUAAAGCUGUUAUUUAUUUGUUUAUUUAUUUCUUUUUAUUAUCCAUACAAAAUAGGUUUUAUGUAUUAAAUAUGUCUGAUAUGUUAUUAUUACGGUUAAUAACCAUGCCAAAAUAACACAAUAAUUAAAUUACUUUAAAUUUUGAUACAACUAAUAACAAUGAUAUGUAUGAACUAAAAUUUAAAAUGGUCCCAAAUAUAUUUUUUAAAAUAGAUAAGGUUGUAAUAAUAACUGUCAAAUCUUAAAAUAGCUGGAAAUCGAAGAAGGGAGCCAUAUGUGUAAAAUUUGUUGGAGUCUUGUAAGUACAUUAAAAAGAAAAAAAAUAAGAUUGGAGUCACUACUAUUUAUUUAUAUAAAUUUAUUUAUUCGUUGAUCAAUCUGAUUACCUUAUUAAUAUAAAAACUUAAUUACGAUUUACGACUUGAUCCCCUCGCCCUUCGUUCGGAUUCCUGGAACAUUCGAAUUCUUACAAAGGGUAUUUUUUGUCAAAAAAUAAUAGUACUGUGAAAUUUUUAAUGUAAAAUAAUCUAUAAACGUAUAAAUCUGUGUAGCCCUUCAAUUACGAUGACAACAUAAAAUGGAUAUUUGUCAACUGAUGAACCUGAAUAGCUAUUAUUCAAAAAAUAUGACGGUUAGAUAGAGCUUUAUGUAAAGAUGUGGAGCUGUAAUUUUAAACUUUAAUGACGAAUCGUACCUGUUAACCUAAAUUAAUUUCGUAAAUAAAAUGCUUGGGGUAUCAAUAGAUCUUCAAUGACGAUGACAAUACUUGUAUGGUAGAGCAAAUAUUUGGUUAUUCUUCUGAUAGUUCAAAUUAAAAAUAUUUGUAACAAUUUUGAGUAGCUGUGAAUAAAUAAAUAUAGAGUCCUAUUCAAUAUUUAUAAACAUAAACCUAAUCUGUGUAGAGCCCCUCAAUACUUAUGACCACCUUACUUAUUUUAGCUAUCUCUUAACUAAAUCUGAGUAAGUAUUCACAAAAUCGUAUUGUAGAGUCGUAGUAGGUAAUUUACUCGAACAAUAAGAUGAUAGUGAUUAUAUUUUUAUAAUAGUAAUAAAUUCAAGUAGCCGAUUUUAUUAAAAAAAAGGAAGAUGGAAAUAGAGGCAUAACGUAUAAAAUAUUCUCGCACAUAUAAAAUGAUAGUCAUAGGUAUUUUAAGAUGAUAUAUCUGUAUUUUUAAAUAUUAUUUCAGAUUUGCGUAACUAAGUUUACCCUUGAAAAGGAAUAAAUAAAAAGGUAAUUAAUAUAUAAAUGAUAGAUCUGUAAUUUUAAAUAUUAAUUCCGAUUUGAGUUUUGAGCUGAGUAGCUAUUCUUCAUAAAAUAAGAUUGUAGAGAGAGCCAUAGGAGAUCUUUACUAUUAUUACCUACUGUAAUUAUAAAUAUUAUUUCAGAUUUGUGCUUUUAACUAGGUAGCUAUUCUUUAUAAAAGAAGAGGUAGAGAGCCAUUGGUAUUUUAAGACUGACUAAGAAGAUGGGGCGAAGACAAGACGUUUUAAGAUAAGAAAGAAAUAAUAGGCAAUAAAAAGAUUAGGCGAUAAAACUAGUUGAAAAACAAAUUUAUAGCAAGUCAAUGUGCCAUUAAUAAAACCCGUAAUUAUUAAGUAGCUAUUUUAGAGGUGAUACUCAAAACUAACGUUAUGAUAAGAAAGAAAAAAUAGGCAAUAAAAAGAUGAAGCUAAUUUUAGUUGAAAAACAUAUAAGUAGCUAUUUUAGAAACGAUACUCAAAAAUAACGUUAUGAAAAGAACGAAAAAAUAGGCAGUAUAAAGAUAAAGCGAAUUCUAGUUGAAAAACAUAUUUAUAGCAAGACAAUGUGCAGCUGAUAAAACCCGUAAUUAUUAAGUAGAUAUCUUAGAGGCGAUAAUUAAAAAAUGUAUUAUGAUUAGAAAAAUAUAAUAGGCAUUAAAAAGAUCAGCCGAAUUCUAGUCGAAAAACUAAUUUAUAGCAAGAAUAUUAAACCCGUAAUUAUUAGGUAAAUAUCUUGUAGGCGAUACUCAAAAAUAAUAUAAUGAUAGAUAAGGCGAAUACUAGUUGAAAAACAAUUUAAUAGCAAGACAAAGAGCCAUUACUAAAACCUGUAAUUGAUAAGUCGAUAUCUCAUAGACGAUACUCAAAAAUAAUAUUAUGAUAAGAAAGAAGUAUUAGGCAAUAAAAAGAUAAGCCGAAUUCUAGUUGCAAAACAAAUUUAUAGCACGACAAUGUGCCAUUAAUUACAACCCGUAAUUAUUAUGUAGCUAUUUUAGAGGCGAUUUUCAAAAAUAACAUUAGGAUAAGAAAGCAAAAAUAGGCAAUAACAAGAUUAGGAGAAUACUAGUUUAAAAACAAAUUUAUAGCAAGUCAAUGUGACAUUAAUAAAAACCGUUAUUAUUAAGUUGACAUCUUAAGAGGCGAUACUCAAAAAAAUGUUAUGAUUAGAAAGAAAUAAUAGGCAAUAACAAGAUUAGGCGAUUACUAGUUUAAAAACAAAAUUAAUAAAACCCGUAAUUAUUAUGUAGCUAUUUUAGAGGCGAUUUUCAAAAAUAACAUUAGGAUAAGAAAGCAAAAAUAGGCAAUAACAAGAUUAGGAGAAUACUAGUUUAAAAACAAAUUUAUAGCAAGUCAAUGUGACAUUAAUAAAAACCGUUAUUAUUAAGUUGACAUCUUAAGAGGCGAUACUCAAAAAAAUGUUAUGAUAAGAAAGAAAAAAUAGGCAAUAAAAAGAUGAAGCUAAUUUUAGUUGAAAAACAUAUUUAUAUCAAGAAAAUUAAACCCGUAAUUAUUAAGUAGCUAUUUUAGAGGCGAUACUCCAAAAUAACGUUACGAAAAGAAAGAAAAAAUAAUUUAAGCGAAUUCUUGUUGAAAAACAAAUUUAUAGCAAGACAGUGUGCAGUUGAUAAAAUCCGUAAUUAUUAAGUACAAUAUAUCUUAUAGAGUACUCAAAAAUAAUAUUACAAUAAUAGGCAAUAAAAAGAUUAGGCGAUAAAACUAGUUGAAAAACAAAUUUAUAGCAAGUCAAUGUGCCAUUAAUAAAACCCGUAAUUAUUAAGUAGCUAUUUUAGAGGUGAUACUCAAAAAUAACGUUAUGAUAAGAAAGAAAAAAUAGGCAAUAAAAAGAUGAAGCGAAUUUUAGUUGAAAAACAUAUAAGUAGCUAUUUUAGAAACGAUACUCAAAAAUAACGUUAUGAAAAGAACGAAAAAAUAGGCAGUAUAAAGAUAAAGCGAAUUCUCGUUGAAAAACAUAUUUAUAGCAAGACAAUGUGCAGCUGAUAAAACCCGUAAUUAUUAAGUAGAUAUCUUAGAGGCGAUAAUUAAAAAAUGUAUUAUGAUUAGAAAAAUAUAAUAGGCAUUAAAAAGAUCAGCCGAAUUCUAGUCGAAAAACUAAUUUAUAGCAAGAAUAUUAAACCCGUAAUUAUUAGGUAAAUAUCUUGUAGGCGAUACUCAAAAAUAAUAUAAUGAUAGAUAAGGCGAAUACUAGUUGAAAAACAAUUUAAUAGCAAGACAAAGAGCCAUUACUAAAACCUGUAAUUGAUAAGUCGAUAUCUCAUAGACGAUACUCAAAAAUAAUAUUAUGAUAAGAAAGAAGUAUUAGGCAAUAAAAAGAUAAGCCGAAUUCUAGUUGCAAAACAAAUUUAUAGCACGACAAUGUGCCAUUAAUUACAACCCGUAAUUAUUAUGUAGCUAUUUUAGAGGCGAUUUUCAAAAAUAACAUUAGGAUAAGAAAGCAAAAAUAGGCAAUAACAAGAUUAGGAGAAUACUAGUUUAAAAACAAAUUUAUAGCAAGUCAAUGUGACAUUAAUAAAAACCGUUAUUAUUAAGUUGACAUCUUAAGAGGCGAUACUCAAAAAAAUGUUAUGAUUAGAAAGAAAUAAUAGGCAAUAACAAGAUUAGGCGAUUACUAGUUUAAAAACAAAAUUAAUAAAACCCGUAAUUAUUAUGUAGCUAUUUUAGAGGCGAUUUUCAAAAAUAACAUUAGGAUAAGAAAGCAAAAAUAGGCAAUAACAAGAUUAGGAGAAUACUAGUUUAAAAACAAAUUUAUAGCAAGUCAAUGUGACAUUAAUAAAAACCGUUAUUAUUAAGUUGACAUCUUAAGAGGCGAUACUCAAAAAAAUGUUAUGAUAAGAAAGAAAAAAUAGGCAAUAAAAAGAUGAAGCUAAUUUUAGUUGAAAAACAUAUUUAUAUCAAGAAAAUUAAACCCGUAAUUAUUAAGUAGCUAUUUCAGAGGCGAUACUCCAAAAUAACGUUACGAAAAGAAAGAAAAAAUAAUUUAAGCGAAUUCUUGUUGAAAAACAAAUUUAUAGCAAGACAGUGUGCAGUUGAUAAAACCCGUAAUUAUUAAGUACAAUAUAUCUUAUAGAGGGGUGAUACUCAAAAAUAAUAUUACAAUAAUAGGCAAUAAAAAGAUGAGGCGAAUACUAGUUGAAAAACAUAUAUUAUGAUAAGAAAGAAAUUAUAGGGAGUAAAAUGGGUUACGCGAAUUCUAGUUGAAAAACAAAUUUAUAGCAAGACAGUGUGCAGUUGAUAAAACCCGUAAUUCUCAAAAAUAAUAUUACAAUAAUAGGAAAUAAAAAGAUAAGGCAAAUUCUAGUUGAAAAACAAAAUUCAUAGCAAGACAUUGUGUCAUUAAUAUAACCCGUAUUAUUAAGUAGAUAUCUUAGAGGUGAUACUAAAAAUUAUAUUAUGAUAAGAAAUAAAUAAUAGGCAAUAAAAAGAUUUGGCGAAUACUAGUAAAACAAAUUUAUAGCAAGGCAAUAUGCCAUUAAUAAAAACCGUAAUUAUUAUGUAGUUAUUUUAGAGGCGAUUCUCAAAAAUUACGUUCUGAUAAGAAAGAAAAAAUAGGCAAUAACAAGGCGAUUACUAGUUUAAAAACAAAUUUAUAUCAUGAAAAUUAAACCGGUAAUUAUUAAGUAGCUAUUUUAGAGGCGAUACAAAAAAUAACGUUAUGAAACGAAAGAAAAAAUUAUUUAAGCGAAUUCUAGUUGAACAACAACUUCAUAUCAAGACAGUGUGCAGUUGAUAAAAAUUUAUUAUUAAGUAGAUAUCUUAGAGGUGAUAAUGAAAAUUAUAUUAUGAUAAGAAAUAAAUAAUAGGCAAUAAAAAGAUUAGGCGAAUACUAAUAAAAACAAAUUUAUAGCAAGGCAAUAUGCCAUUAAUAAAAACCGUUAUUAUUAAAGUUGACAUUAGAGCUAAAGACUUGAAAUUUGGUAGGAAUAUUCUUUUCACCGAGUAGAGGUCAGCUAAGAACGGAUUUUACAAAAUUCCACCCGCACGUUUUUUUUUUAUAAUGAACAGAACAACGUCUGUCGGGUCAGGUAGUAUAUUAUAUACUAACCAUAAUGCAUACAAAUGUAAGUGAAAUAAAAAAAAACACACGUAUCAAACACUAGUUAUCCAGUUAAUUAAAAAUUAAAUCGGUUGUGAAUCUAUAUUUGAUUUUUCAUGUCUGUCGUCGAAACUAGGCUUCAUAAUGCCAUAACUAAUGAAAUAGGACUAACCAUACUGAAUCAUUAUAUUUUAUUUCUUUUUACUUUUUUUAUCGUGUUUAUUUUAUUAGCAAUGUUUUUGUUCCUGCUGUAAAAAACUACGACAAAUCGCUUAAACAGUUUACUUUUUAAUAUUAUAUUCAUCUCAUUAUUAAUCUACGCUUUACACUAUUGUAGGUAAUAUUACCUACAUGCUAAACUUUUGGGAACAUUAAGAGAAAUAUAGUAUAAUUAAGUAAAUAGUUUUAAUUUAAACAUGAUUUGAAUGGUUUAUAUAUUCUAAUACGAGUGGCAACCCUUUUGAUUUAGUAACUAUAAAAAUAUGUAGAAUACCCCUAAAUUUAAAUUUACAACUUUUACAACGUGCUUAAUUAUUGUUUAAUCUUAAGCAGAUUUUUUUUUUAAAAAACAAUAACUGUUUACACUUAAAAAAUAAUUUCAAUUCAACAUAAAGUAAUGAUUGUAUUUGUUUUGAUAAAAUAUUAAAAGUCAGAAUUGUUUGUAUAAACAGAUAUCCCCCAGAGAUUGGAUUCAUAAAAUAGUUUUAAAUAAAAAGAAACGCGUACACAGAUAUUAAUUUCUAAGCCAAACAUAAAUAAACAUACUGGAUGUUAACAUAUUUAUUUUUACAAAAAAAUAUUAUAUUAAAGCAUGGCUUUUACAUGAUAAUCAUUAAAUUUGAUAAAAUGGUUAUUUCUCUUCAAAUUUCAAAUGACCUAAGCAAUUAGCUAACGUCUUCUAAAUAUAAUUAUUAUUUACUACCUUAUAUGAAUACUUAGUACUGUUUCUAUUUAAAUAAGAAUUUGAAUUAACACACAUUUAGUUAAUUGACGCGAGCUAAGUACAUAACUUAAUUGUAAAUAUAAAAAUUAAAAUACAAUAAUGUAUAUACCAGUAAUUGUAAGAUAAUCAACACGAAAUAUAUAAUAUGUAUACCGUAAAUAGUUAUGCCAUAACACACUAGAGCUUGUUUGUAAAUGGGUUAAAUUAAGGUAUAGAAUAUUUUUGGCUAGAAUAGUUGUCGCAGGAUUUAAAAAAAGAUAUAAUUCUUAACACUAGUUUUGAAUUAGUGAAUUAAUAAAAACAAGUUUGGCUCGUGAUUAUUAUCAUCACAACCAUAAUAAUAUUGUAUUAACUUUACAUAUAAGCAUAUAAAAGCUAUCGAUUUCUGACUAUCUAAGACAAUAUAUUGGUAUAUUUAUUAAAACUUGAAACAUACUUUAACAAUUUUCAGCUAUUAAACAUAUUGAUUCUAUUUAUUUAUAUGUGACUUGUUCAACAGAGGCGGCUUAUGACGAGAUACGGGCAGGCAGGUCGGUCGCGUUACAACAUUAAUGUUAGCGUAGGCCAAAGUCGGCUUCGAAAUCUAUAACGCGACGAUUAUACUCAAGGAUCAUCCCGGUCUUCCGGUAGAAACAUCCCCUAUUUAUUAGGGAUUUUUCUUUAAACUCGCUCGAGUGCAGAUUAGUUUUUAUAAGGAAGCUGCAGGCAGGCUUGUUAGCGAAAAGAAAUUCAAAAAAGAUACCGUUGAAAAUUGAGAUUAUCAGGAGCAAAAUCGCAUUUUAUUAAUUUUAACUGUGUCUCUGAAAGGCGUAAUGUUUUCGAUCACAUUCUCACACUGCUAUUGUAUAAUGCUCGGUCCGGUCGUGGGUAGUAUUUCAAUAAAUAUGAAAAGCAAUUUUUAUGACGUACAUUGAACUUCAUCUUGAAAGGUUUAGAGUAAGAGUAUGAUCUAAUUUUCUUAAGCCCCGAUUUCACCAUUGAAGUAGAACGCGAUUAGAAAAAAACGCGAUAAAAAAUUCUGGUUAGCACACGCAUCAACCAUUGAAAUGUUGAAAGGUCACUUUAGCAGCAAAUGCUUGGUCAAAAGAAGAAUAAAAGUCGUGUUCAAAUUCCGAAUUAAAAAAGCAGUAUCCUAAAGUCACUGGAAAGAUCUAAAUAAUAAGAGGAUAAACAGUCGCUUUAAAUAUGCACUUACCGAAUUGAAAAGGUUAAGGAUUAUACCCCAGAGAUAAAAACAAGUGAAACAGUAACGAAAUGAGAUAAUAAAAGGUAGUCUACAAAUAAACAUAUGAUUUAAAUUUCAAGGAUAUUCCGAACUGAUAAGGUAGCUAGACACGUACGUCUGUAAGUAGAUUUGGGAUUAUGAAAUAAUAAUAUUGAAAAUUCAAAAGAGAAAGACUAGACGCAGUAAAACGCCCAAAAGAUGAGCUUUUAGAAAAUUUUGUCUUAACUUAUUACUCCCAGAAGAAAUAGUAAGUUUGUUUUGUUUUCUAAUUUUUAUUUUUCGUUCUUAAGCCCCGAUUUCACAAUUGAAGUAAAACGCGAUUAAAAAUUCUGGUUAGCACACGCAGCAACCAUUGAAAUGUUGAAAGGUCACUUUAGCAGCAAAUGCUUGGUCAAAAGAAGAAUAAAAGUCGUGUUCAAAUUCCGAAUUAAAAAAGCAGUACCCUAAAAUCAUUGGAAAGAUCUAAAUAAUAAGAGGAUAAACUAGUCGCUUUAAAUAUGCACUUAGCGAAUUGAAAAGGUUAAGGAUUAUACCCCAGAGAAAAAACAUAAGUGAGAAGGUAACGAAAUGAGAUAAUAAAAGGUAGACAAAUAAACAUAGGAUUUAAAUUUCAAGGAUAUUCCGAACUGAUAAGGUAGCUAGACACGUACGUCUGUAAGUAGAUUUGGGAUUAUGAAAGAAAUAAUAUAAUAUUGAAAAAUCAAAAGAGAAAGACUAGACGCAGUAAAAUGCCCAAACGAUGAGUUUUUCGAAAAUUUUGUCUUAACUUAUUACUCCCAGAAGAAAUAGUAAGUUUAUUUUGUUUUCUAAUUUUUCUUUUUCGUUAUAAAGAUAACGUUAUCAAACAGGAUCUCGAAGAUACGGAAAGAAAAAUAUUACAAGAUGGUACGAAAAACAGGAUUAAAAUAUUUUUAAUACGUUUGCUUUAAGCUUGUUUACAUUUUGGUAAAAAAAAUAUUCGAGUGGGGAAAAUAUUUUAGGUUGCUACGAAAGUUGGUUUCAAGUUAUUUAAUUGUGAGUAUGAAACAAUAUAAUUAGUUCAGUAUAGUUGGUGACAAAUGUAUAAAAAUUUUGUAAUUGUGUUAAUGAGUUUCUUUAAAGUUGAUAUCUAAUGAAGUGAUCAGUUUGGUUCUGUGAUGGAAGUGAUUGAAUAUAAUUAAUUUUUUUUUUCUGAAAAGCAAGAUAUUUUACAAUUUUAUACGAUAGGUGAAAUUAAUAUCAAUGUACAAAAAAUGCACCUACUUUUUUUAAUAAACGAUAAAAACUACGAAAUAGUUUACCUCCGCCAAUUUACGUUGCUGCAAUGUUAUCAUUCAAUCCCGAACUAUGGGGAAAGUUUUUGUUAAAGUUUGUUCACAGAAGAUCCAGUAAAAUCGUUCGGAUAAAAAUGUUGGGCUCGGUAAUGAAACACUUAAACGAAUGUUAUGCUUUUGGCACAAAUGUUUGGUUUUAGAGAAUGUUCACAGAGGUACACCAACAAAAGGACACACAUCAUUUCGAAUUAGCUUUGAGUAUGUAAGGAACACAAUUUAGUAUUUCUGAUUGUAUAAUAUUCUUGUUAAAAAUUUUAGCUUCAAGCACGUGCUUGUAAUAUCAAUAAUUCUUGUUGUAUGCAUUUUCAAUCGCCUACUAGGCCCAUUAGGUUGUGCUAAAGUGUGCUUUCAGAAACCAUUACGAUACAUAGACCGCCCGGCGCGCAGAAUAAUAUGGAGACAGUAGCUGCUUCAAACCACCUAAAAAGAAAUGCUUGGACGUUUAUUUACACUUUACAAUGUUUUAUCGUGUUUGAAUAGGCUUACGGAAUGCUUGCACAAUAACUUGAGAUGUAUGGAAUGCUACGGUGAAAUUCGGUAAUCAAUUGGGUUUAACUUGAUUUAGUGUUAGAGUUGUCGUGCCAUUUUUGUGUGAUUGCAGAUAAUUAACGCAGUGUGGAGGUUUUCAUCUAUUUCCAAAAAUCUGUCUAGGUAUAAUGUACUAUAUCGUUCGGAUAUAUCCGGUUGUUUUAACGCUUGACUUUAAACUAUAAAGCUUCGCAUAAGGGAUCUUCUGGGUAAUGUUUAAUAUUAUACAGUUACGUAUGUAUUAGUUGCAUGACACAUUUUUUGUGACAUCACUAUUUUAUUUUUGCUAACAUUUAAUGCCUAUAUGAUGGACCAUUAGCAUUUUAGAAUUGUAUCUGGUUUUUAUGUAAAAACAAUUCCAAUACAUCCCUUUAUCCUUUUAUCAUACAUGUCCCUGGGUUAGGCAAAAUCGAAAAUUUCUUAUGAUUUCAGAUAUGUUAUUUAGCCAGUAAUACAAAUUUAUAUUAAACUUCAACAAUCUUUCUAAGAGGUUAUGAUCUAAAUGUAAUGUAAAUCAUAAAGGAAAAAUUAACUGGAUUGAGCUAUAAUACGUCGACGAUUUGCUGCAUUGACGACAUAUGUCUAUCGAUUUCUCUCGCGCCCGGAUUCCUGUGAUUGGCCGUAGUUUUACCGGUAACAAACAAAAAAUACUAGCAAAAAAGUGCAAAACUCGUGCCCAGUAAAUAUCUUCGCCAGUUCGGAAAUGAAAUGUAUGUAAAAAUUGGAGUCUACCAGUGCAAUGGCAUGAUCGAUGGAAAGUUUGAAUGUGUGUAUGGAGCAUACUUGCGGUUGGAGAUCAGAUAAGGUGAACCAUCUAUUUAAGUCACGCCAAAAUUGCAAUUUGAAGGAAGUAAUAUUCGACUCGCAAUUUGCACUGAACGUUUACGUAUUAUUAUUUGUAGUAGGAUCCCAAUUGUGCCUUAACGCUUGAUGCACCUAACUGGAGCAGGUAUGGUAAAAUUUACAAUAAAUUACAGAACUCAGUGGCGGUUUAAUUAUUCUUGAUUUCAGCUGCAAUGAUAUAUUAUCAAACGAAUAAGACACCAAUUGUAGUACCGAAAUGAACAAGGUAAUUCUUAAAUUUUAACGUCUUACCUCUUCUUCCAAGUUCGUGUUUCUAUAUUAUUCGCAGAUUGAUCCGGAGACCACAGUGGCCGGUACGGUAAACUAAUCGCUGAAGGCUUUAAAUUUAAUUUAGGUUAGCCCAAAAGUCCUACCUGAUUCUGCUAUGUCCAAGUUGUGGAAUAUACAAAAAGGUACAGUCAUCAUUUGCGUCCCUGCCAUUAAAUGCGUGUGAGCAAGUCAGCGUUUUAAAAUACUCCUGGCGGUUGAUCAUCACAAGGUAGAUAUUGCCGACGGAUGACUUUAUACUAGUUUAGUAAACCUGAGAUAGUCCACCACACUGAAACCCAGGCCGUACUUCUGGAUCUGAUGUAAUCGGUAACUUAUUUAUAUAUUAUAAUGCCUUUAUUGCUCUUAUGCCCGUCAUAAAUGUGUAUGUGGCUGAUAUCUGUAAAAGUAAUUUUGCAUUUUAAAUGCAUACUAUUAGGUGUUGUGACUAGUUUGUCCUCACCGUUUAAAUAGGUAUUAGGUAGAGAAAAUAUUUGCAAUGUAACAGACUGUUCCAGACUAACUCGUGAAUGAGAAUGCCAAUCGUAAGUCCUGAGAUAACCAUUCCAGGCAUAUGCAGCACGUGUGUUGUAAGUUUUAUCUCAAUACAAUUUUAUUUUAAAAACAAUAAGGGUGUUGUGACUUACUUGUCCUCACCAUUUAUUUGUUAGGUAGAGAAAAUAUUUAGAAUGUUACAGACCGCUCCAGACUUAUUCGCGAAUGAAUGCCCAUCGCGUAAAACCUGAGAUAUCUAUUCCAGGCAUAUGCAGCACGUGUAUUGUAAGUUUUAUCUCAAUACAAUUUUAUUUUAAAAACAAUAAGGGUGUUGUGACUUACUUGUCCUCACCAUUUAUUUGUUAGGUAGAGAAAAUAUUUAGAAUGUUACAGACCGCUCCAGACUUAUUCGCGAAUGAAUGCCCAUCGCGUAAGCCCUGAGAUAUCUAUUCCAGGCAUAUGCAGCACGUGUAUUGUAAGUUUUAUCUCAAUCCAAUUUUAUUUUAAAAACAAUAAGGGUGUUGUGACUUAUUUGUCCUCACCAUUUAUUUAUUAGGUAGAGAAAAUAUUUAGAAUGUUACAGACCGUUCCGGAUUUACUCGUGAAUGAACGCCCAUCGUAAGCCCUGAGAUAUCCACUCCAGGCAUAUGCUGCACGUGUAUUGUAAGUUUUAACAAAUUUUAAAUCUCAAAACGCUACGUAGGAAAGGAAAUUGUUUUGUUUUGAUUACAGAUAGUUAGUCUGCAGCAAAAAGAGCAAACCAUGUUACGGAAUUAAUUAUAAAGAACGCACGGUACAAUCGCGCCCCACCAUGUCUCGCAGAUAAAUAUAACCUGGUAUAAUUAUUCGAUAAAAAAAAACAAAGAUACAAAACUUUUCUGGAAAUUCGGGUUUUUUAAUAUGUUCAACAGACGCGUGCUUCGCGUUUGGGUUUGAGGGACAAGUCUAUCGACGCUGGUACGGAAACGUCAAUAAAAGGUCUGAAUUUUUUCUAUACUUUAAGGCUAGGCAAAACUAAGUAUGAUUUCAUAUAACUAGUCAGAUAUAAUGUAGCUUAGCAUAGAAAACGUUUAAUGUUUGCUUACAGAACCAUGGAUUACGAGAUUCCUGCAUUCGUUACCGUUAGUGUAAGAUAUAUUUCCUGUUUCUUUAAUUCUGUUUCCAGAAAUCGCCGAUACGAUUUAAUCCGCGCACGCCAUCAAAAUCAUUUAGAAAGUGCACGAAUAAAUGGAAGUACAAGUAAUAAUUUUAUUUAGUUUAGGCCUUGCAACAAUCGGUGUUUUGUUAUUGAUUACAGAAUGCAGUCCGGGUGCAUCGCGGUUUGUUGCCAGCAAUAAAAUGAUUAUUCGGUAAUUUAACAGUUGACGAGAAUGUUGUAUAUUUGCACGCAACAUUGGGGAUGCCUUGUAAAUGUUUCAGAUAGUAGUUCCAAGCAAAUAAAUCCAACCUUAGAACGUAGAUUGUGCAGAUUGUUUACUUAUAAGUUGACAGUUGACACCACCUUAAUGACCUGCUAGUGCUACAGCUGACAGCGGCGUAAAUCGUGACCUUUAUGAGUAAGAUUUUUAAGCGUAAUUAAUCUAUUUACCUUUCCCCCUCCUAAUUAUUAUUGCUUCAGUAAGACGUUUUUAUAAGCUUUCAGGUAUCUUGUUAUUGUGUGUUACAUUGUCGAAAUACAUAGAUAACUAGAUUGUUGUAGUGUGUGUACAUAUGGAAUAAUUGUUAAAUUGUGAAUGUUUUAACACAAUUCUAGUUCAAGCACGAAAUUUUACUAAAUGUCAAUUAUCACGGAGAAAGGUUUCACAGAGAUGACUGGUAUUGUCGAGGUUUGUCCUAGAUGUGCAACUAAUUAUUGGGCUUUUGUUAAUAGUUUUAAUGAAAUGGGCGGCUUUAGAAUUAUUAAAACCCCGCAUUCUAAGUUCUUGCUGAUUGUUAUUUGAUUUUACGCUUUAAUCACAUCGAAUCUGUGCUAAACGUUAGCGACAUUGUAAUAUAAUUUGAUAAAGCUAGUCUUAGUUGUAUUUGAAGCGUUCUUGGUGAUUUCAGCACUUCUAGAUGCCGGCUGUGGCUAACGUUAUUCUUAUUAUGUAAGCAUGAGAGCUUGAUUGGUACAUGGUUAUAUUAAAUCGAUCUCACAAACACCCCCAGCUUGUGUGGUAUUAAAGCAUAUUGAACGUCGAUCCAUUGCAACAAUAAAUUGAGUGCACGUCUAUUAUUAUUAUACAACAAAUCCAAGAACGAUGCUUAUGUUGAAUUGUUAUUGGUAUGUGUUUCGAUUCUUCGUUCACAGCUUAACCUAUGGUGGAUUUAAAUUUAACCUUUAUAUUUUUAAUAGUAUUGUUUAAAAUAUAUUUUAUAUUUAAAUUGUAUUUAAGUCAUGCUUAUUCAACAAAAAAAUCAUUCUUAUGUAUGUAAUGUUAACUAGGUCUAAAACAUUUAUAACUCUAACAUCUGUGUAUGUUAAAAUUGUUUAAAGUUUGUAGCACUUUUAUCUCCGAUAACCACUUAUAUUUAUUAAUUUGAUAUAUAUACUUCAAUAUGAAACAUUGCAGCAAUCGUAAAAAUCCUUAUAUAUAACCCUAUGAAUGUAAUCAAAUAGAAUAGGAAAUCAUUUUGAACGAGUAUUACGCCGCGUUGUGAAGAAUAGGACGUUACUCCGGGCGAUGACAUAGGUAGGAAGAAAAGGAAAGCUAGUUCGGAACGCGGUGGGAGGACUCAGAAAAAUCAAGUUAAUAUUGUGUUACUUUAAUUAAUAAAAAAAGUGAUUCCCGUGGAGUUUCUUGCGCCGCUUCUUCUCCACGGAAGAACACAUUGCGAAGCGGUGGUAGUUUUUCCAAAUCUAAAUUCCAAGUAAAUAAAAUACUCUUAAAUCUAACAA